RNAcentral lists this transfer RNA (91 nucleotides) under Gammaproteobacteria bacterium. RNAcentral's name for it is "tRNA-Ile". It matches the Rfam family "tRNA". Rfam says of the family: Transfer RNA (tRNA) molecules are approximately 80 nucleotides in length. Their secondary structure includes four short double-helical elements and three loops (D, anti-codon, and T loops). Lineage: Bacteria; Pseudomonadati; Pseudomonadota; Gammaproteobacteria. The record is from RNAcentral.
GCUCCCGUGGCCUAACGGUAGGGCAGCCGAUUUAUGUUCGGUAUUAGCGCCAGAUUAGCGCGAGAUCUGGGUUCGAAUCCCAGCGGGAGUA